GGCCCCUUAGCUCAGUGGUUAGAGCAGUCGACUCAUAAUCGAUUGGUCCGCAGUUCUUAUUUGGGGUUU
RNAcentral lists this transfer RNA (69 nucleotides) under Vibrio sinaloensis. Its description in RNAcentral is "tRNA-Met". It matches the Rfam family "tRNA". Rfam says of the family: Transfer RNA (tRNA) molecules are approximately 80 nucleotides in length. Their secondary structure includes four short double-helical elements and three loops (D, anti-codon, and T loops). Lineage: Bacteria; Pseudomonadati; Pseudomonadota; Gammaproteobacteria; Vibrionales; Vibrionaceae. The record is from RNAcentral.